RNAcentral lists this ribosomal RNA (253 nucleotides) under uncultured bacterium. RNAcentral's name for it is "partial 16S ribosomal RNA". It matches the Rfam family "Bacterial small subunit ribosomal RNA", at positions 524 to 776 of the family's 1533-position model. The record is from RNAcentral.
GACGGAAGGUGCAAGCGUUGCUCGGAAUCACUGGGCGUAAAGGGUGCGUAGGCGGCCUGGUAAGUCUGGCGUGAAAGCCCAGGGCUCAGCCCUGGAAGUGCGCUAGAAACUGCAAGGCUAGAGUGCCGGAGGGGAGAGUGGAAUUCCUGGUGUAGCGGUGAAAUGCGUAGAUAUCAGGAGGAAUACCGGUGGCGAAAGCGACUCUCUGGACGGCAACUGACGCUGAGGCACGAAAGCGUGGGGAGCAAACAGG